This 751-nucleotide long non-coding RNA is filed under the name Malus domestica (apple). Its description in RNAcentral is "long non-coding RNA (MDOM_LNC009826)". The record is from RNAcentral. Lineage: Eukaryota; Viridiplantae; Streptophyta; Magnoliopsida; Rosales; Rosaceae.
UCAGCCGCAACUACCUCCUGAGUCACUGGCUUCCUCGGCAAAGAAGUAGCUUUUUCCACACUCGUUGCUACCUCAUCUUCAUCUCUCACCUUAUUGGUUUGCCUCAGAUUCUUUAAUUUAAGUGGAGAAGCAGAUUUUUCCACACUCGUUGCUACCUCCUCAGCAACUCUCGCCUUCCUGGUUUGCCUCGCGUUCUUCAAUUUCAGUGGAGAGGCAACUUCUUCCACACUCGUUGCUACCUCCUGUUCAUCUCUCGCCAGAGAAGCCAGCAAAUAACCAAGAAUAAGAAGUAAGAGGGGUCAUGUAAGUAAGUAGUCUUUGCAAUGAGUGUGAGUGUUAUAGAGUUUGUAUCUAAAAAGUGAAAGAGUGUCAUAACUUUUAAAAUUUUAUUUGAAAGAUUGUGUUUUGUAAUAUUUAUGAGUGUAAUACAAGUAAUUUAUUUACUUGUUUUAUCUUCCCAAAAAAUUUCUGAAAAUCGUCGUGAAAUUUGUACUUGCAUAUUAAAUUUAAUUGAUGUUGAGUAGGGGCUUAAUUGGACUAUUUGAGGAGGUUCAAGCAUGCACUCACUACCUUCGUGUUCACAGGGAGAAAUUUCAUGGUCCAGAAGUUGAAUCACGUGUUUUUUCCGACUCAAGAGUCAAGACAAAAAAGAGCAGAAAACGACAUUCUCCAUAUACACGAAAGAUGAACUAAUGGAUUCUCGCGCAUUCAACUUUCACAAUACACAAAAAUUACAAAUUAAUCAAAGCCG